AGACCCUGCGAGGUCACAAAGCCCCCCAUGAAGUCAUAAGGCCAAGCCAUGGUGUGCAGUGCAGGGCGUGUGCUGCAGGCACCGCUCCAGCAGCAGCAGUGACAGCGGUGACAGCAUGGUGCAGGCGCGGUGGGCCCUGGCCCUCAUCCUCCUCCUGGUGGCCCUGCCAGUCGGAGGUCCAGAGUAUCAAGAUGGAAGGGGACAAUCUUCCCAGGACACAUCCAAAGUGCUACAUGAAAUCCUUGGACAGCUGAAGACAAUAGCACGAGGUGUGAACAGCCUCAGCCUCAACAGCGCCGUGGAUGGCAGAAGAUUCACCAGCGCUGUGGUGGGCAAGGCAGACCCAAACCUUGUGGAAGGCAGGACAGACCCAAUUGCUGUGGUGGGCAGGGCAGAUCCAAAUGCUGUUGAUGGCAGGACAGACCCAAACACUGUGGAUGGCAGGACAGAUCCAAACGCUGUGGUGGGCAGGGCAGACCCAAACUCUGUGGGUGCUGAUACCUUCCAGACGCACUGCAUAGAAGGCAUCGUGGCUGUCCUGGGCUCAAUUCUGCUGGGGAUGGCAUUGUAUUGUGUAUUCCACUUGUGGAGGAAGAGGAGAAAGCGCCUCGCAGCUUCGAGAGCCGGCUCUGAGCGCCCCAACAGCCGGGCAGAAGCCAGCAGAAUAUUUGCAGGAGCGUUUAAAUAAAGAUCAGCAGCACAAUCGACUGGAUUGUACUGGCAGCAAAUUCCUAUGGGUGCCACUGCGAGGCCUGGGGGUCCCCUGGGUACUGAUGGAAUCUAACUUACCACUGAUUCUAACUGUUUCUGAUUUGAUUUUCACUAUACGUAUUAUCCAUUCCAUAAGCAAUAGUGACCCUGGCCAGCACACUUUGUUGUGUUUUUGGAAAUUCAUAUUAAUUCCAC
Molecule: long non-coding RNA, 906 nt
Filed under: Manacus vitellinus (golden-collared manakin)
Lineage: Eukaryota; Metazoa; Chordata; Aves; Passeriformes; Pipridae
Description: lncRNA (ENSMVIG00005010091.1)
Source: RNAcentral